This is a non-coding RNA of Mauremys mutica (yellowpond turtle), 72 nucleotides long. NCBI's taxonomy places the organism in Eukaryota, Metazoa, Chordata, Testudines, Geoemydidae. The record is from the annotation of a RefSeq genome assembly.
GCAUUGGCAGUAUAGUGGUGAGCACAGCUGCUUUCCAAGCAGUUGACCUGGGUUCGAUUCCCAGCCACUGCA